Molecule: transfer RNA, 139 nt
Filed under: Sediminispirochaeta smaragdinae DSM 11293
Lineage: Bacteria; Pseudomonadati; Spirochaetota; Spirochaetia; Spirochaetales; Spirochaetaceae
Description: tRNA-Arg (CCT) (tRNA-Arg-CCT-2-1)
Rfam family: tRNA
About the family: Transfer RNA (tRNA) molecules are approximately 80 nucleotides in length. Their secondary structure includes four short double-helical elements and three loops (D, anti-codon, and T loops). Further hydrogen bonds mediate the characteristic L-shaped molecular structure. tRNAs have two regions of fundamental functional importance: the anti-codon, which is responsible for specific mRNA codon recognition, and the 3' end, to which the tRNAs corresponding amino acid is attached (by aminoacyl-tRNA synthetases). tRNAs cope with the degeneracy of the genetic code in two manners: having more than one tRNA (with a specific anti-codon) for a particular amino acid; and 'wobble' base-pairing, i.e. permitting non-standard base-pairing at the 3rd anti-codon position.
Source: Rfam by way of RNAcentral
GGGACUGUAGCGAAACGGUAUCGUAUCGGGACCCUAUUCCGAUGAGUGUGUCUGACAGCAGCGUUCAGGCAGAAAAUGGGGCAUGGAGUUGCAACCAUGAAAGCGCUAACCUCUGCAGGUUCGAAUCCUGCUGGUCCCA